This 394-nucleotide ribosomal RNA is filed under the name Lactobacillus delbrueckii. RNAcentral describes it as "bacterial SSU rRNA". It matches the Rfam family "Bacterial small subunit ribosomal RNA", at positions 97 to 477 of the family's 1533-position model. Lineage: Bacteria; Bacillati; Bacillota; Bacilli; Lactobacillales; Lactobacillaceae. The record is from RNAcentral.
GGCGGAUGGGUGAGUAACACGUGGGCAAUCUGCCCUAAAGACUGGGAUACCACUUGGAAACAGGUGCUAAUACCGGAUAACAACAUGAAUCGCAUGAUUCAAGUUUGAAAGGCGGCGCAAGCUGUCACUUUAGGAUGAGCCCGCGGCGCAUUAGCUAGUUGGUGGGGUAAAGGCCUACCAAGGCAAUGAUGCGUAGCCGAGUUGAGAGACUGAUCGGCCACAUUGGGACUGAGACACGGCCCAAACUCCUACGGGAGGCAGCAGUAGGGAAUCUUCCACAAUGGACGCAAGUCUGAUGGAGCAACGCCGCGUGAGUGAAGAAGGUCUUCGGAUCGUAAAGCUCUGUUGUUGGUGAAGAAGGAUAGAAGCAGUAACUGGUCUUUAUUUGACGGUA